Molecule: ribosomal RNA, 483 nt
Filed under: Triticum aestivum (bread wheat)
Lineage: Eukaryota; Viridiplantae; Streptophyta; Magnoliopsida; Poales; Poaceae
Description: partial small subunit ribosomal RNA
Source: RNAcentral
AUGGCGGGCAUGGUGUUCGGCUUGGAGAACCCGAUGAUGACGGCGCUGCAGCACCUGCUGGACAUCCCAGACGGCGAGGCCGGCAACACCGCCGGCGGCGAGAAGCAGGGCCCGACGCGCGCUUACGUCCGUGACGCGCGAGCCAUGGCGGCAACCCCCGCCGACGUGAAGGAGCUGCCGGGCGCGUACGCGUUUGUGGUGGACAUGCCAGGUCUCGGGUCCGGCGACAUCAAGGUGCAGGUGGAGGACGAGCGGGUGCUGGUGAUCAGCGGCGAGCGCAGGAGGGAGGAGAAGGAAGACGCCAAGUACCUGCGGAUGGAGCGCCGCAUGGGCAAGCUGAUGCGCAAGUUCGUGCUCCCCGAGAACGCCGACAUGGAGAAGAUCUCCGCCGUGUGCCGCGACGGCGUGCUCACCGUGACCGUCGACAAGCUGCCCCCGCCCGAGCCCAAGAAGCCCAAGACCAUCCAGGUCCAGGUCGCCUGA